GCAGAUCGUCGAGGUAAUGGGAUUGCUCUGUUGAAUCUUUCUUCUCUGCCUUUCAUCUUUUGGUUUCUUCUGAUUUCUCAAGAGGUGCUCUUAAAAAUAACAUGUGGUUGAAUACAUUGUUGGAGGGAAGGAUGACUUGAGUGAGUAAUAUUGUGUUUCAGGUAUGAUCUUUCCUCUGUGUGUGUCUUGAUUGUAUACAUCAGCUUCUCUCCGUUUCUCUGCUUUCAACACACAUUUAUAUGAAAGGUGAUCUUACGUACGUUCCCUUCCAAACGAGUUUGUUCAUGUAACUUUCCCUUUGUAAGCAGUUCUUUUAAUUGUAUGUUAUUAUGUCUUUUAGCUCUGUUAAGUCUGAGCCCCUCUAAGGCUGGACAUAUGUUCUACUCAGGUUUUUGUUCUCUUUCCCGUUGGUAUAUUUCUCUGUUUAUGUAUACCUCUCAUGCUGCAUCUAGUCCUACUGUUUGAUCCUAUUUUUAUAUGCUAUAUAGUUGAUGUUCUAUCAGAAAAAAAAACAUUAGGUUACGUUCGAGACUUUCUCUUUGAGAUAUAUCAGCUAUCUCUUUGUUUUUUUAUAAACUAGAUUUUGAAUUUUGGCUUCCUGAAUUUUGGAUUGUGCCACUGGGCAGUCUUCAACAUCAUUUGGACUUGUGAUUGGAUGUUUCAGGUUCAAAGUAUAGUUGAUGGUCUUCCUAGUGAGGCUAAUUGGUGUCUUAUCUUUUCUUAGUCGAGGUUCUAUAAAAGAGAAGCAUAGGGGAUCCUGAUCUGGUUAAGAGGAUUGGAGCAGCUACUGCAGUCAAAGUCGGAGCCACUGGAAUUUCAUACACAUUUGCUCCUCGCAUUGCAGUUUGUAGAGAUACCAGAUGGGGGUAGGUGUUAUGAGAGCUACAGCGAGAAUCACAAAGUUGUGGAAGACAUGACAUAUGUCAUACUUGGUUUACAAGGAGAGCCUCCUUCCAACUAUAAGCAUGGCUUUCCAUUCGUUGGUGGCACUGGCAGGGAUAAAGUUGCAACAUGUGCCAAGCAUUACGUGGGAGAUGGUGGGAAAAACCCGAGGAAAAAAUGAGAAUAACAGGGUGACUUAUUUACAUGGUCUUCUUAGUGUUCGCAUGCCUGUUUAUGCUGAUGCAGUUUACAAAGGUGUUUUCACAGUGAUUGUUUCAUAUUCAAGCUGGAAUGGUGAGAAGAUGCAUGCAAAUAUAUACUGAGCUUAUCACAGGUAAUUUGAUUCUAAUUGUCUUGACACUAGUCCUAAUAACUAUAAUUGUCUUCAGACAGUUUCAAAAUGCUAUUGGAUUCCUGAAAAUGAUCGGCGCACUGGAUGAGAAGGAAAAAUCUAACGGAUCUUGGUUUGUGUUGGAAAAUCAUUGAUUCUCCCCGUUGAUCCCAAGCUGCCAUCUUCCGCUGCUUUGACCCGAUCCUGACAGUUGUAUUUAUCAGGGCUCAGUGUCGAAGAUCCGUUCCUUCUACCUCAAGACAAUAAUGACGUAAGUACAAGGACUCAUGAUUCAUUUUUAUGAGUUAGGUUCAAGGAACUUCCUGUCAGCCCAGACGCUUCAGGCGACGAUAUAUUCUCUGACAUUUAAUAUCAGAAAACUAGGGCCAUUUACCAGCGUUUGUAUCAGAAAACUAGGGCCAUUUACCAACAACGACGAUGGAAUAGAAAUUUAGUAUCCUUGUUCUUGAUCUCUCUUCUGGGAAGUUUAUCAUGAAACCGUGGACAACACACUUAUCCCCUGCCCAUAUGUAUCAGAUCCUAGAUGUACUGAUAUAUUUAGCUUUGUCCAAUUGUAUCGAGACUGUGACGGAACUUAUGGUAUCGUCGACUACACCAAUUAUGAUGACAUGAAUUCUGUAUAUGUGCAGAUCGGAGAUGGUUUGAAGAAAUGAAGAAGAUUCUACAGGAAGCUGGUGAUGUUCGUGAAUCUCCCAUCAUCUCCUCCAUGGCAACAUUUGAAGGAUCAUUUGUGGAGAGCUGGUGAUGUCUUCUUUAAUCUGCUGAGGUCACUCGAGACAGUCUUACACAACGAUGGUCCAAUCCUAUUCUGUAGAUUGGAUUGGGGUUUGUUUCUGGAGUCCUGAGAGACGACGACAAUAUUGGGUUUUAACAAGAAGAGCUAACAAUCAGUAUACGUGCAAAUUUCUUGCCUGCAGCUUUGAAGGAGCUACAAAUCAGAGAGAUGGAUUGAAGAAUGAAGUAGAAGACUCAAGUCUGCUUUAGGAACCCAUGGUGUCGUCGACAACAACACCAGUUAUGAUGACAUAAAGUAUGCUUUGUUUGCUCUUGUGUGCAGAGGCUCAUCCAUUGGACUCACAUACAUCAUUUGUGUGAUUUCAUUCUCUUGUGCACACUGUCCGUUUAAACAAUGAGAAAUGCCCUAGACCAAUGUGCUAUACAAGGCCUACGGAAGUGAAAAGAAAGACACCCCAAAUUGUGAUGUCCCCGAAUUUGAGAUUCUAUAGGAAGCUCGUGAUGUGUGCUUCAUGGCAAGAUUUGAAGGAUCAUAUGCGGGGAGAUGGUGAUGUGUGCUUUGCUGAGGUGCAUCCGUAUUAUAUGUAGCUAGCUACUGGGAUUAAGAACUCUAAACAAGAAGCUAUCAUGGUUCUUGGACGAGGGAGGGAGGUGAAGGCACAAUUCAAAUUGUUGAAGCUUGUUGCCAUCUAUGCUCUACCGUUACAUAGGUAUAUCGUCGUUAGAAUUCAUCCCUCUGGCUUUUGGUAGCUUCAAGAAUUGCAAUGAGAGCUUGAAGGAAUGAGAUUAUGAUGAGAUCUUUUUUUGCUCUCUUAACAGCAAACCCAAAUUUUGGAUCGUGCGGAGUUGCUGGCAAGCAUGUCAAUGUCGAUUCUCAGAAAAGCUUGAAGGAAUGAUAUUACGAUGAGUUCUUUUUUUGCUCUCUCAACAACUAAAACAAAUUGUGGAAGCUUCAGGAAUUGCUGGAUCUUAUAUCGGAGUUGAUAGCAUAUCACACGAAGACGCACACAAAAGUUUCGUCUUUUCUGUGAUAUUUGAUCUUCUACUGUAUAUUGUUAGAAUUCAUCGCUCUGGCUUAUGGUAGCUUCAAGAAUUGCGUUGCAAAGUGGUAAGAAAGUUAAAUUGAUAAUGUUUUAGCACAAUGUUUCUCACUCUUUUUCUUACAGAAAAGCUUGAUCCUACUCUCAUAUGCUUGUGAUUGUGGUUUUACUCAUGUGAAUUGCUCCCGUCUUUGUUAUUUCUUAUGUGUUUGAUCCUUGGUGGUUUUUCUUAUGUAAAGUGCUCCCUUCUUUGUUAUUUCUUAUGUGUUUGAUCCUACUCUCAUAUGCUUGUGAUUGUGGUUUUUCUUAUGUGAAGUGCUCCUUCUUUAUGGGUAGGAUAAUUUUUCAUCGACUUUCUUCUAUUUCUAUGUUAUUUCUUAUGUGUUUGAUCCUACUCUCAUAUGCUUGUGAUUGGUGGGUUUUCUCUUUUCCUUGGAGAUAUAUGAUCAGUUUUGCUUCCCCUUUUCUCUUUUUGUCUUUCUGCAUUUUUCUAUGGUUUAAAUGCUAAUCACUUCUGUUUGGGAUUGUGUUUUCCAUAUUUUUGCAUCAAUCACUCCUCUCUGUUUCUCUGUUGUCUGUCUACACACAUUCAUACGAUAUGUCCUCAGUGUCUUAUUGUGUUUUUCAUAUUUUUGCAUCAAUCACUCCUCUCUGUUGUUUCUCUACUGUCUGUCUACACACAUUCAUAUGAUAGGUGUUCUUAAAAAUAACAUGUGGUUGAAGACAUUGUUGGAGGGAAGGAUGGCUUGAGUGAGUAAUAUCGUCGUGUUUCAGGUUAAUUCGCAUCUCUACACCUUUCUGCUAUUUAAUUUUGAUUGUGGCUUGAGUGAGUAAUAUUGUGAUCUUUCCUCUGUGUGUCUUAUUGCGUUUUCUAGAUUUUAUACAUCAACUUCUCUCUGUUUCUCUUUCCCUUUUCUCUUUUAAAUAUUCUGCAUUUUUCUAUGGUUUAAAUGCUAAUCAAUUCUGUUUGGGAUUGUGUGUUUUGUAUUUCUACGUGAAUUCAUUGUCUGCGUAUAGGAAUUUGGUUGAUGCAAGUAGAAGAUCUGUUUGAAUUCUUAAUUCCUAUUGUUAAUUCAGGUGUCAUGAGCUUCUUUUUCCUGGGGUUUGUUUGUGGUUGUUAGUUGUUACGCCUCUUUUUUUAUUUUUGAGUUACUUCUGAUUGUUAUAGUUUAAUGGGUAUUCAAGAGAAGUAAGCUUUGGGUUCCUCACUGGUUGCAUAAAGGAUUGAUCUCAAUUGGUAUGUUUCCUUUUUGUUAUUAUUUCCUCUUUAUGUCUUUAUUGUAUUUUCCAGGAUAUCUUCAUCGAUCACUAUACUCCGAUCCUUUUAAAUGAAUUUGUACUUAUUUACUGUCCUUUUCAUGAUGGAUGUCUCUACCAAAGUAGUUUUUGCAUUGAACAACCUCAAGUCUGAGCUUCUCUUAAGCAGAAAGCUAGACAUGUUGUUAAUCAGGUUUUGGAUGAUGCUUUUAUCGAUGAGAGUGAUGGCUUCGUCUCUGUGCAGCUAACGUCUUCAUGGGUUUUGUUCUUCCUUUUUACUUUCUUUCUUUUUGUUGUUGUCGUUGUUUUGUUCCUUACGUUUCUUUGUUCGUAUUGCAGGUGUUGUGGAAGCGAAUUAUUAUCAGAUCAUCGCACAAUUUUCUCUAGGCCUACAUCUUCAAGCCUUCUCACGGAUGUGUGGAGGAGGAUCCUUUGAUCAUUGAUAGCUUUGACUGAUCGUUGUCACUCCAAUUAUUCUUCUUGGUUUUUUGGAUGAUGCUUUUAUCGAUGAGAGUGAGUGAUGAUGGCUCAAGGACACGAUUCACUUCUUCUCUUUGCUAACGUCUUCAAGGGUUUUGUUCUUCCUCUUAACACUUCUUUUACUCUCUGUUUUUUUGUUCCUUACAUUACUUUCUUCUUCGUCUUGCAGGUGUUUUGGAAGCUAGUUAUGUUCUAAAUUGCAUCAAGUUGCUAUUUUGAUAAUGAAUUUGUUUAUGUUGAUUUACUUGUCGUUCUAUUAUUUCAGGUUCCGGAUGAUGCUUAUUAUGUUCAUGGGAUUUUUACCUCUUCGCUAUGUUUUUUCAGGUUGUGGAGUAUCGGUCUGUGAUGCUUUUGAUGUAUCCUUUUUGUCUACUAUGUGCUAACUAGUGUAUACUAACUAGUGUCAUAGGUCUGCUAAACCUGAAUAUUUUUAAGUUGUUUUCUUUGUGUGCUAAAUCUGCUAAUUAAUGUGUUUUUUUUUUUAAGUCUCUUAGAUGGUACGCUUAUGUCUGAGCUCCUCUUAUGCACAAGGCUAGUUGGACAUGUGGUUUAUUCUGGUUUUUGGUCUCUUUCCCGUUGGUAUUUUCUCUGUUUAUGUAUCUCUCUCAUGUUGCAUCUAUUCCCACUGUUUGAUCAUAGAUAGUCGAAGUUCUAUCAGAGAAAAGCGUCGGGUUACUUACUUGUAUCUCUCCACUUUUUCUUUGUAAAUGGUCUAUGUAUCUCUCAUGCUGCAUCUAUUCCAAUGGAUUUUGUUCUUUUUAACUAGUUUUUGUUCCAUUGUCUUUUAUGUCUCUUUGGUGGUAUGCUUUAAGUCUGAGCUUUUCUGAUGCACUAGGUGGUCUGUUCGUUCAGGUUCUUGUUCUCUUUCUCUUUGGGAUCUGUCAGCUAUCUCUUUAAUUUGUUUAUAUAAACUAGAUUUUGAAUUUUGGCUUCCUGAGUUUUUGAUUGUGCCACUAGGCAGUCUUCAACAUCAUUUGGAAUUAUUAUUGAAUGUUUCAGGUUCGUUUUAGUUGAUGAGAUUCUUAGUGACGCUGGCAUCUAGGCAACCUAAGACCAUGUCUUUUGUUACUGAUUGGUCUCUUUCCUCUUUUUCUUUGUUUUUGUAUUUAUCAUGCUGCAUUUGUUCCUAGUGUUAUAUGAUCUUAUUCCUAUAAUGCUGCAUUUGUUCCUAGUGUUUGAUCUUAUUCCUAUAUGCUUUUUAUUUGAAUUGAUCAGGUUUGUCUGUUACCUCUUUGGUGGUUUCGUCUUUUCCCUGUUUUUGGUUUGUAAACUAGGUGGAGAUGUGAUCAUUGUUCCUGCCCCUUAUCUUGUUUCGUCUUCUUUACAGGUAUGUUGAGGGUGCAAAGGAGGCGAGUUCUAUUUUGAUAUAUUUUCAUCUACAAGUCUUGUUGGUAGUCCCUUUUCUCUUUCUGUAUUUUUUCUAUGAUAUGAAUUGUUUUAAGACUUGCAUUGUUUUUCUAUGAUCUGCAUUUUUUCCUUCUAUGUUUCGUUCCCUGAGCUUUGGACUGUGACAGUGGGGAGUUUGACAUGAUUGGUACUUGUUAUUGGAACUAUAAUGUUCCACAUCUGCCUAGUGAUGAUGGCUUUUCUUUUUAUGUUUUGGCUACCUCUAUAUUUCAUGGAGAUGUCAUCAGGAUUUGUUUUUGCCUUCCUGAUUUUGCAUUCUGCAUCUUUUCUGUGGUUUAAAUGCUAUCACCUGCUUGAGUCAUUAUCUUUAUGCAUAGGAGUUCGGUGCAAAGGCAGAUUUCUGUUUGGAUAUAUAUAUGCAUCAUGACUCAUGAGUUUGUGAGGUGGCUUUUCUAUGUUUUGUUACUUCCUAUAGUAUUUUUACUUGGCCUUUGUUGUUGUAGAUUGUGUGGUGGAUAAUGCUAUGAUAUUUCUUAAUUGUAUUUUUACUUAAUAAUUAAAAAAAAUCUCUAUGAAUUGAUAAUUAUUAAUUCUGCUAGAAAAUAAGAAAUAUUAGUUUAUAAAUAUAUUACUUUCACUAUGAAUUAUUAAAAUAUUUUUAUCUCAACAUUAUUAAUCUAAUCUAAAUCACUAUUUGCAUUGAACAUCUUCAAGUCUGAGCUUCUCUUAAGCAGAAAGCUAGACAUGUUGUUAAUCAGGUAUUUGUUCAUCUUUCCUUCUUGGAUCUUCUGCAAUAUGUUGAUUCAUACUUCCUGUAUUUUGAAGUGCGUUUAGCCUCAUGAGCUUUUAACUAUGAGACUAUGAUAGUGGGGAGUUUCACAUGAUUGGAACUUGUCAUUGGGUGUUCCCCGUCAUCUGUAAUGUUCCUCAUCUACCUAGUGUUAUUUGCAUUUCUGCUUAUGCGUGAUUUUUUUGUUAAGUCUUUUAACAUAGACAGGUUACUAUUUGGUUCUCUUAUCCAUUUUGGUGUGCUACAUAUCUUGCUACUUUUUUUUUCUCAUGAUGGUAGACUUCGUAGGAAUGUUCUCAGGUAAUCAGUGAAAAUUGAAAACAUCACCUCUUUACAUCUGGCGAAGAGGUUGAUUAAGUAAGUUGUUGGCUUGCAGGUCAAAGCUUUCAGUCUAACACGUUAAAGUAACCUCCAUUAUGGUUACUUUUAUUCAGAUUCUACCACAGAAGUGUCUAGAUCAUUUAUAAGACCUUCGGUGUGUGUUGCUUGUACAAUUGCGUAAAUGAUGUUUUCUCAACUUCUCAUUGUUCGGAACAUAGAGGAGUCUCUUUUCGAUUUGUCAUGUCGUGGCCAUGAAGCCUACGCUGGUGUUGCGGUUUCUGAAGUUCUUAUGGGAAGCACUGUGACUGGACUGGAGUAGAGACUGAAAAUGUUUGGAGUUUGUAAGUAGUGCAUCUGUUCUCGGAGAAAUGAAGUCUUGGAUGUAUAAGAUUCUGUUUUGGAAGUUUUAAAAGAUUAAUUGAUGAUAUUGGUGAAAUGAUAGGAAUGAGUACACACAUGAGAAGCAUAUAUCCGUUGGUGAGCGUAGAUCCUAAUGAUGUCCAAAUGAUCUGAGAUAUGGGGGAAUGUGUGGUAUAGGCGAAACCACCCACCAACGCAAAAAUUAUGUCUACGAAGUCUUGUUGAGCGAGUUCGAUGGUGCUUCCUUGUUAGAGAAUGUGAAAGAGGCUUAUAAACGAUAUGGUCAAUUCAAAAUUAACGAACGAAUAAUAGAGAACUGGAUCAUAUAUUGGGCUCAGAAAACCUAUUUAAGGCCUGCUAUCAAAGUGGGCUGACAAUAUGUGAAAGGAAAAUACGAAAAUUGUGGUGUUUGUUUCGUAUUUAGCAUUAUGAAGAAUUGUUUUAUUAUUACCAUUUAUGAAGAACACAACCAUUUGAUU
Molecule: non-coding RNA, 8043 nt
Organism: Camelina sativa (false flax)
Lineage: Eukaryota; Viridiplantae; Streptophyta; Magnoliopsida; Brassicales; Brassicaceae
Source: RefSeq, a predicted model, not a curated record